Chlorocebus sabaeus (green monkey) is the source of this 1590-nucleotide non-coding RNA. Lineage: Eukaryota; Metazoa; Chordata; Mammalia; Primates; Cercopithecidae. The record is from RefSeq and is a predicted model, not a curated record.
CGCACGUCCCCGCCGGGGCUUCGGGAGGGGUGCGGGCGGGGAGCGCGACCCCCUGGCCAAGGUCUACCGGCAGGACGUCUCCCGUCGCCCCCAUGGGAGAGGGUCCCCGCGGCCUCCAGGCUGCGCCCACGUGCGCGCAGGGUCGUCCGUCGCCCCGAGCGCCCGCUCUCCGGCCCGGGCGUGGGAGGCGCCUAGGAAGAGAGCCGAUCUGGAGUAGGCACCCGGCGGCCGGGAGGCUGGAAGGCGUCUGCCCCCAAGAGCUCCCUGGCCGUGCGCGCCGCGUCAGCCCCCUUGGCAGAGCCGCGCGCCGAUGAGUGUGGCCACGCUAGGAGAACGCAGCACUGGAGCUGGCCCCAGGCGGGCAGUGGCCUCGGGCGAGGGCAGAAGGGCACUCCGGGCAGUGAAUAGAACACUUGCUUAUCCCUUCAGAGGACAAGCCGGUGGCAGGCCUGGAGCCCCCAGUGACGGGGUGAGCAGUGGGCAGUGAGGCAGAGGGGUCCUUAAAGGGUAGUUGACAUCUUCAGUGUCAGCUUCUAGCGUGACCUCACAGCCCCCAGCAUCCCCGGAAUGCCCCCCACGGUCUAUCUGCUCCAAUAGACUGAAAAUUCCCUAAAUGGAAGGCACCCUUGAGGCCGCUAUCAAUAUGGUACCUGUACAGAGUGGGUGUUAGGUAAAUACUUGAUGAACGAAUGACAAGUGAUGGGAGACUUGAAGGACAAACUUCCAGGGACAGAAAGGACGGUGCUGGGUUUUUUCUUUUGAGUUUUGGAAAGCCUUGGGCAGUGGUACUGGAUUAGGACCGGGCUGGAGACCAGCUUCCAGGCUAAUCUCUGCGGACCUGGUGAACUUCCACUACUCUGUUCUAGCCUCCAGAAAGUUGCAUUUGCUUCCCUUCCUCACACUUCCUUCACCAGGUUCCUGGUAUACAUCCUUCAUAUUUCAGCAUGGGCGUUGCCAGCAGAAAAGCCCUCAGGCUUCCCAAGAUGAAUCAUAAAGCCCUGAGGUGUUCCCUCCCAGGACUCUGCGUUCCCUUUCUUGCGUGUACCACUGUACUGUAGAAUGGGUUGUUCAUUUGCAAAAUGCCCUCAUUAAGACGGUAAGCUCUUUGAAGCUGGGGAUAGGGGUCUUAUCCAAGUCAUGGCGUAUUCGUGGCCCAUAAUCAAUAUGAAAUGAAUGAACAGAUUCAUUUAGGAAAUAGAACCCACAAAACUCGGUGGCCAGUUGGAGAGGAAGGAAGGCCAAUUGGAAGGAGAGGGAAGGAGGAAUCUUGGGAGACUUCCAGGUUUUCUGGCUCAAGGAAUUGGGUCACCUAGGGGUCACUGAUCUACAGGAAUUCCUUCUCUUAGCAAGGAACUCCUUGAGAUCUCCUCCAUAUCUCCAGGACCUUGUACAGUUCAAGAUACAUAAUAAUUUCUUGAGGGGGAAAAAAAAGCUUGUUAAAUAAAAUAAUUAGCAAAUACUCAGCCUUCAAAGUCCCCAGAGACUGGUUCUUGGUGCAUCCUAAUUACUGCAAAAUUGCUUGUCGAAUGAAAAAAAUAAAUCAGUGGAUCUUCAGGCUUCAAAUAUCAUCUCAAUCUCAUUUUAGUUUAA